AAAGAAGCCGAAAGGCUACUUAAAACCAUCGUGAACUCGUCCAAGUUGCUUCGGCGGCGCGGAGCCCUCCUCACCGGGGGCGCCGCAGCGCCCGCGCCCCCCCGGGGGUUGCGGGAGCGCCCGCCGGAGGUCCCAAACUCUCAUGUAUUAUAGUGGAUCUCUGAGUACAAAACAAAUAAGUUA
This 183-nucleotide unclassified non-coding RNA is filed under the name uncultured Coniochaeta. Its description in RNAcentral is "sequence contains ITS1". The record is from RNAcentral. Lineage: Eukaryota; Fungi; Ascomycota; Sordariomycetes; Coniochaetales.